This 319-nucleotide ribosomal RNA is filed under the name uncultured eukaryote. RNAcentral's name for it is "partial 18S ribosomal RNA". It matches the Rfam family "Eukaryotic small subunit ribosomal RNA", at positions 1470 to 1796 of the family's 1831-position model. The record is from RNAcentral.
CCCUUAGAUGUUCUGGGCAGCACGCGCGCUACAAUGGUCUUCGCAAACGGAUGCAUUCUCGAAGGAGAAUGCCAAUCUUGGAAUCUAUGCCUUGGUCGGGACAGUUGCUUGCAAUUUUUCGACUCGAACCAGGAAUUCCUUGUAAUCGUGAUUCAUCACAUCACGAUGAAUACGUCCCUGCCCUUUGUACACACCGCCCGUCGCUCCUACCGAUCGAAGAGUUAGGUGAAUUGUUUUGAUCGAUAAGAUUUGACUAUGGUCAACUCUCGUUGUGAAAUUCUGUGAAUCUGACUGUUUAGAGGAAGGAUAAGUCGUAACA